Molecule: ribosomal RNA, 472 nt
Filed under: uncultured bacterium
Lineage: Bacteria
Description: bacterial SSU rRNA
Rfam family: Bacterial small subunit ribosomal RNA
Source: RNAcentral
UGGGGAAUUUUGGACAAUGGGCGCAAGCCUGAUCCAGCCAUGCCGCGUGUGUGAAGAAGGCCUUCGGGUUGUAAAGCACUUUCGGCCGGAACGAAAUCGCCUCCGUUAAUAGCGGGGGUGGAUGACGGUACCGGAAGAAGAAGCACCGGCUAACUACGUGCCAGCAGCCGCGGUAAUACGUAGGGUGCGAGCGUUAAUCGGAAUUACUGGGCGUAAAGGGUGCGCAGGCGGUUGCGCAAGUCAGGCGUGCAAUCCCCGGGCUUAACCUGGGAAUGGCGCUUGAAACUACGUGACUGGAGUAUGGCAGAGGGAGGUGGAAUUCCACGUGUAGCGGUGAAAUGCGUAGAGAUGUGGAGGAACACCGAUGGCGAAGGCAGCCUCCUGGGCCAAUACUGACGCUCAUGCACGAAAGCGUGGGGAGCAAACAGGAUUAGAUACCCCCGUAGUCCCUGAGCGGGCUGGCAAGGCGCAU